Molecule: long non-coding RNA, 3680 nt
Organism: Salvelinus namaycush (lake trout)
Lineage: Eukaryota; Metazoa; Chordata; Actinopteri; Salmoniformes; Salmonidae
Exons: 2
Source: RefSeq, a predicted model, not a curated record
AGUGGGCGGUGGCGGUGACGAUCAGUUUACUGAAAACAAUCAGCUGUUUGAGAACUGAGUUGUGACGCUGGUCCUUGGGCACAAGUCAAGAAAACAGAAAGUGGUGAUAGGCAACGAGUGCCUGUGUUUCAGCCCUGCCUCCAGGACAAGAUUCAUCCCAAUAAAAGUCAACCUGCGCCUGAAGGUCUACAUUCCAAGUGCGUGACAACACCUGAUGUAAUGCAGUAGAGGAAGGACAGGUGAGGUGAGUUUUUGCUGAUGAGACACACUGACUGUCUGGGUAAAGUGAGAGAGGCUAAAAGGACACUGCUGACCUGCAAAAUGACAAACGAAAGGAAAAAAAACUGACCUUAACAUUGACCUUAACCCUGACCUUAACCCUGACCUUAACCUAAUUUGAACCAAUUCUGAAAUGAAAUAUUGGUUUGCAGGUCAGGAGUGUAUCUGUGUAGCCUUUUUCGGGAAAAGCUAUGUCAGCCAUUAUGACGACCAGUAAUGAUACUUUAGUUCAAUUUUGAACCCAGAUUGUGUUAAAAUAAAAACAAUCUUAUGAUAAAUGUAUAAGAAUUUGACUUUAGAGAACGUCAAGGCUGACCAUGUCGUGGCAGCCACCUAGACAUUGUUUAGGCUGUAGUAGCACAGUAGUAACACUGGUGUUGACACGUGUCCAUAUAUCUGGAUGUUCACACUUCCCCUUUAAAGUCCCAGAGACCACACACUGGUUUAAUAAUUAAACGCUUCAGUCAGUGAUAGAAACCCUGUUGUAGUUCACUCAUAAUAGGUUUACUUAUCUGGUUUAAUACUGAGCCUGUAGCUACAGUAUAGCCACUCCUCCGUGCUGUAAGGCUACUGUGGCUCGGUUGGAGCACGGUUUGCAUAUGUGACCUCAUCCCUGCGGGAAUAGCUUGGUGCUCCCUCAGUCACAUAACAACACAACAGGUGCUCGGCAGAAGCAUCCAUAGCUACAGUGCCCUUCGUCUAUCUGGCUUUCACCCUCAAGUCACACGUGUUCCUCUGGAAUCUAUGACGCUACGGUUGAUUUGCUGAACGUCUAUAAAUGCUUCCCUGUUGAUUACUGAUAGUCUAUUGAUAGUUUGUUGAGUAUCCAUCUACAGAUGGAAUAUCCAAGUAAAGUGUCACCUUUUCUUUUACAAAGCACUUAGGAGCAGAACUUACUAUCGUUCAAGUCAACAGGAAGCUAUGAGAUGUUAAAACCUGACCUAUAGCUAACCUAGUUGCCGUAGUUAUGACCUCAGGGGAUCCAAUUACCUUUAAGUUUGGCACUGUACUCCGUUUUGUCCGACUGACUCCUCCGCACUAGGGUCCCAAGGUUGAUGUCACCUUUAAUAUCAGCGGCGGUGUCAUCGUUGGCCACCACGAUGGUGUCCGUCUUCCUCCUCUCCAAGUGCAUGUAGCGCAGGAAAUUAGGCCUGGUUCUCCUCUUGAUCACUUUCUCUUUUUCCUUCUCUUUCUCACUGCCGUUGUUGGCCUCCUUGUUGGGAUCCAUGUCGACCAAGAAGCCCUCUUCUUCUCCCCCCGUGCUCUCUGUCCAGCCAGGGAGAAAGAGAGAGGGAGAGAGGGACGGAGGAAGAGAGAGCCUGAGAAGUGCAACAGGUGUACUGUAGUGCACUACUGCCAACGCCACACAGGUACUGUGGCCCCUCCCUCUCCCAGGCACCUGCCCUGCCGUACCUGUCACAGGAGAGCUCUGUGGCCCCUCCCUCUCCCAGCAUACUGCCUGGCAUACCUGUCAGAGGAGAGCUCUGUGGCCCCUCCCUCUCCCAGGCUCCUGCCUUGCCGUACCUGUCACAGGAGAGCUCUGUGGCCCCUCCCCCUCCCAGGCUCCUGCCUGCCAUACCUGUCACAGGAGAGCUCUGUGGUCAUGCACCCUCCACUGCUGUGCAAUGCAACUUCCCCGGGAACACCUGCAUCUCUAGAGAGAGAUAGAGGGAUAAGAAGGGAGCAGUGGAAGAGAGAGGGACUAUGACCACUACACUAACAAAUGUACUAUUUUGGAUUUACUAAAGAGAAGGGUCUCAAGGGAUAACAUGCAAAGCAAAAGAAUGCAUGGAAAACUCUAGGUAUUACAUUGGUUACAGUAUGCGUCAAGACAAUGAGCCAGUGUUUGUACAUUUUAUUUGUAAUGUAAAUGAUGGUUAUUGUUUUUUUUCCAUUUGAAGAACCUGGGGUCUUUAACUAAAGGUGUUUACUAUUCAGAAUACACAAAACAAAAACACAUCACAUAUAUAACCAAUAGAUAACCUUUAUUCCUGAGAGCUCAAGGAAUCCCACAUCCAUGUUCAUGAGAUCAUUAUUUCCCACCAACUGUAAAAUUAGAUGCAUGAAUUCAACAAGUGGGUUGCUGUGGGGAAAAAGUCUGUUCAAAUGUCAAUUAAGUGAUUCAUUGCAGCAGAUGCUGCACUUUAGGCAGAUAAAUAUUGAAGGAUAAUAACAGAAUGCACAGAAUCCACAUGUUCACAAACAUACAGCAUAUUCUUCAUCAUAGAGAAAUGUUGACGAUAACGCUUAAAGUGGGUCCAGGAGGGCUACAAGCUAUAACUAGGGCCCAGAGGUUUCCCUGAUGAUUUCACUUGGUCAGGGAAAAAACCCUGGUCCUAAUCAUACUGUAUAUUAACAAUGAUGAAAAGGUGGUUGGAAAAAAUUACUUGCUUACCUUUAUAGGUCAAAUCUCUUCUAAACUACAGCAAAGUAAAUAGGGAAUUAAAACGAGAGCACAAAGCACCAGGUCAAAGUGCACAGUGAGGAGGGAGGAGGGUUUUAAAGCGUGUAUACUCAUCUGCGUACAGCAUUUGACCUGUGUUGACCAUUCCUAGUCGACUGGGCUAGCCAAUAGGUUAGCUUAUGUAGUUAAGACAAGCUACAGCAAACAUUGAAAGCGAUCAACAGUCAUGAAGCACUGACUGCACUUGAGAGAAAGAGAGAGGGGCAUAAUGGCGUAGUUUAAACAUCAUGUACUCUAUACAGUCUGUCCAGUAAAUGAAUGGGCCAAUUUGAAAAACACAUUUUAUUGAACCUACAAACGAUUUGAUCACAGUAACACAAUAAUACACACGGUUCUCACUCUGCUGAUAAAACUGCCUUACAUUAGUUUCAAGUUUCAAUGUCACAUGCACAAGUACAGUGAAGUGCCAUUCUUGCAAACUCAAAACCCAACAAUGCAACAAUGCAUUAUCUUUCAUACUUCAGCCAGAUCUGGUUCAACAGGUACAUUGGCCAUACAACAAUAAGCUACUACAAUGGUUUCUAGACAGGUAGUGCAUUCCAUGGUGAGAGGACAAUGAAUGGAGGCAUCAUUUCCCUCCCCACUGAAGCACAGGGCGAUAAAGGCUCAUAUUGUGUUUCCAGCUCACUGUGUAGUGUGUUGUAAGACACCUGUUAGUCCUCCAUUAGACUGUGUUGCUCCCUGUAAAACAUCUCGUCCACUCCAAUGAUACUCAACUCCAACUCUAUCUUCUUGACAAUUUAGUAACAGCGUAGAGACUGUACCUCUGAAUUACAUUUUCCUCUCAUACUUGUGUCGUCCCCCCAAAACGAAUAUAUGCAGCUUUUACAAAAGUGAAAAAGCAAAGGCACAUGCAUGAUAUUUAAUCACCUGACUUAUUUUUUUUAUCAAGGUCAACACAGUGUGACAUACAAUAAAGUUACAAAAUGCACUGUGA